GACGAACGCUGGCGGCGUGCUUAACACAUGCAAGUCGAACGGAAAGGCCCUGCUUGCAGGGUACUCGAGUGGCGAACGGGUGAGUAACACGUGGGUGAUCUGCCCUGCACUUCGGGAUAAGCCUGGGAAACUGGGUCUAAUACCGGAUAGGAGCCAUUUUUAGUGUGAUGGUUGGAAAGUUUUUUGGGUGUAGGAUGAGCUCGCGGCCUAUCAGCUUGUUGGUGGGGUAAUGGCCUACCAAGGCGGCGACGGGGAGCCGGCCCGAGAGGGUGGACGGCCACAUUGGGACUGAGAUACGGCCCAGACGCCUACGGGGGGCAGGAGGGGGGAAAUUUUGACAAAUGGGGCAAGCCUGAUGCAGGGACGCCGCGUGGGGGAUGACGGCCUUCGGGUUGUAAACUCCUUUCGCUAGGGACGAAGCUUUUUGUGACGGUACCUAGAUAAGAAGCACCGGCUAACUACGUG
RNAcentral lists this ribosomal RNA (465 nucleotides) under uncultured bacterium. RNAcentral describes it as "partial 16S ribosomal RNA". It matches the Rfam family "Bacterial small subunit ribosomal RNA", at positions 28 to 507 of the family's 1533-position model. The record is from RNAcentral.